RNAcentral lists this ribosomal RNA (302 nucleotides) under uncultured bacterium. RNAcentral describes it as "partial 16S ribosomal RNA". It matches the Rfam family "Bacterial small subunit ribosomal RNA", at positions 508 to 807 of the family's 1533-position model. The record is from RNAcentral.
GCAGCAGCCGCGGGAAUACGAAGGGGGCUAGCGUUGCUCGGAAUUACUGGGCGUAAAGGGAGCGUAGGCGGGUCGUUUAGUCAGAGGUGAAAUCCCGGGGCUCAACCUCGGAACUGCCUUUGAUACUGGCGACCUUGAGUAUGGGAGAGGUAAGCGGAACUCCGAGUGUAGAGGUGAAAUUCGUAGAUAUUCGGAAGAACACCAGUGGCGAAGGCGGCUUACUAGCCCAUUACUGACGCUGAGGCUCGAAAGCGUGGGGAGCAAACAGGAUUAGAUACCCGCGUAGUCCCUGUCUCUUAUAC